GAGUUUGAUCGUGGCUCAGAUUGAACGCUGGCGGCAUGCCUUACACAUGCAAGUCGAACGGUAACAGGUCUUCGGAUGCUGACGAGUGGCGAACGGGUGAGUAAUACAUCGGAACGUGCCCGAUCGUGGGGGAUAACGAAGCGAAAGCUUUGCUAAUACCGCAUACGAUCUACGGAUGAAGGCAGGGGACCGCAAGGCCUUGCGCGAACGGAGCGGCCGAUGGCAGAUUAGGUAGUUGGUGGGAUAAAAGCUUACCAAGCCGACGAUCUGUAGCUGGUCUGAGAGGACGACCAGCCACACUGGGACUGAGGCACGGCCCAGACUCCUACGGGAGGCAGCAGUGGGGAAUUUUGGACAAUGGGCGAAAGCCUGAUCCAGCCAUGCCGCGUGCAGGAUGAAGGCCUCGGUUG
This 410-nucleotide ribosomal RNA is filed under the name uncultured microorganism. Its description in RNAcentral is "bacterial SSU rRNA". It matches the Rfam family "Bacterial small subunit ribosomal RNA", at positions 9 to 425 of the family's 1533-position model. The record is from RNAcentral.